UACAGAGGGGGCAAGCGUUGUUCGGAAUUACUGGGCGUAAAGGGCGCGUAGGCGGCCAACUAAGUCGGACGUGAAAUCCCAAGGCUCAACCUUGGAACUGCGUCCGAUACUGGAUGGCUUGAAUUCGGGAGAGGGAUGUGGAAUUCCAGGUGUAGCGGUGAAAUGCGUAGAUAUCUGGAGGAACACCGGUGGCGAAGGCGGCAUCCUGGACCGAUAUUGACGCUGAGGCGCGAAAGCCAGGGGAGCAAACGGG
This 253-nucleotide ribosomal RNA is filed under the name uncultured bacterium. RNAcentral describes it as "partial 16S ribosomal RNA". It matches the Rfam family "Bacterial small subunit ribosomal RNA", at positions 524 to 776 of the family's 1533-position model. The record is from RNAcentral.